RNAcentral lists this ribosomal RNA (253 nucleotides) under uncultured bacterium. RNAcentral describes it as "partial 16S ribosomal RNA". It matches the Rfam family "Bacterial small subunit ribosomal RNA", at positions 524 to 776 of the family's 1533-position model. The record is from RNAcentral.
UACGGAGGGCGCAAGCGUUAUCCGGAUUCACUGGGUUUAAAGGGUGCGUAGGCGGAUUGGUAAGUCCGUGGUGAAAUCCCCGAGCUUAACUUGGGAACUGCCGUGGAUACUAUCAGUCUUGAAUAUCGUGGAGGUAAGCGGAAUAUGUCAUGUAGCGGUGAAAUGCUUAGAUAUGACAUAGAACACCAAUUGCGUAGGCAGCUUACUACUCGAUCAUUGACGCUGAGGCACGAAAGCGUGGGGAGCAAACAGG